This 292-nucleotide ribosomal RNA is filed under the name uncultured bacterium. Its description in RNAcentral is "partial 16S ribosomal RNA". The record is from RNAcentral. RNAcentral also lists the same sequence under 2 other names.
GGACUACUGGGGUAUCUAAUCCCGUUUGCUCCCCUAGCUUUCGCGCCUCAGCGUCAGAAGAGGUCCAGUUGCGCGCUUUCGCCACCGGCGUUCCUUCCGAUAUCAACGCAUUUCACCGCUCCACCGGAAGUUCCCGCAACCCCUAUCUCCCUCUAGACAAGCAGUAUCCAAGGCACUUUUCCGGUUAAGCCGAAAGAUUUCACCCCGGACUUGCUUGCCCGCCUACGCGCCCUUUAAGCCCAGUGAAUCCGAACAACGUUCGCACGGUUCGUCUUACCGCGGCUGCUGGCAC